CGCGGCUCGGAGCCGGGUCGUCGCUAUAGCAAUCGGGAACCGCUACCUGUCCGUUCCAAGGAUUCGGUCCACCAGAAGCGUGAGGAGGUGGCGGAGGCCUCGAGGGCUUUGCGCCAUCACUUCUGCGGCCUGCGGGCGAGAAGACGCUGAGCACAGUGCCAAACCUAUGUAGAAACUCAUUUGGGAUAUGGAGGAGAAUAUGCCACCAGUUCUCCAAAGUGGAGGGGUGAAGCCAUGCCUCCCUUUCCCUCAACUGUGUAAACUGGGUAUGAGGACAGAGGACACCAGGAAAGAAGCCAGAGCAAGAGGAACAGUGAUGAAGGUAAGGAUGGAGAUUGGUCACAUUGGUUGGACAGGUAACUGGGGGUCGCAGCUGGUUGCAACGAGCAGCCAGGGAAUGUAGGAACCUGGGAAGUGGCUCUGGGUGCAGGCAGAGCUAUGGCCAUGGUGCUGAGGUUGGAGGGGCAGGGUGGGGAAAGGCAGCUGAGCCUCAACUCCUUGUGGAGCAGGGACCAUUUCUGUGGACAGGCCACCGCCCCGUCCUUCCUCCCCUCCCUCUGUGCCUGGGCUUGCUGCCAUAUUCCCUAGCCUUUCUCCUAUUUUGGUUUAACAAAACAAAGUCUGACAACUUGGCGGGGAGGGAUCUGGGGAGAGCUGCCAGGCCACACCCUAGAUGGUGGGGGUGGGGGGCAGGGAGAACAGUAGGCUCUCACCCCCAAAUCACCACCCCUAGGUUCUAGAGCCAAGCUCACCGUGGGGCCCCCAAUUCAACACCUUGACUCCAUCUCUAUGCUAGCUACUGCCCUCCCAAGUCCAUGGCCCUUCUCAGUUUGCCUUGGCCCAGGAGGCAUCACGUAGAUUGGUUUUCAAAUGGAGCAGCUAGAAUCUGGGCUCCUGAGGACUUCAUCUGCCCCUCUCUUCCCAUCCUCUCUGCUGAGAUCCUGCAACCUUCUCUUCCCCUUCUGGCCAGGGCAGAGAGGCCCAGAUCCAGCUGGCUCCUGCCUGAGAGAUACACCUGUUGGAAGAGCUAAGGUGUACUUUCCUGUGCUUUGCUCCUGUCUCUACCCUAUCUUUUGCCAUUCUCUUGACUUCUCCCCAUCCCUGUCUUCCUGCUCUUGCCACAUUCUACAUGCCAUCCUUCUGUCUGCUCCCUUACUAUCUAACCUUGUGGCUUUGCUACUCUAGCUAAGCUCUUUCCUCCAAUUCUCAUUGGGGAAGCUAAGGCCCAGAGCAUGGACAACUUUCUCAAAAUUCCCCUAAGAGCCAAAGGUAGUAUUGAGACUUUGAACCCUAACCCUAGGUAAUCUGUGUUCCUUGACCCUUUCUAUACCUAAUCAUUCUCUUGUGCCUCUGGUUGGUUCUCCCCAAAACACUUACAGGGAAAUGGGAUAUGGUGAGAAUCAGGGGCCUAGAAAAGUAAAAGGCAGCCAAAGAACUCAAAAGCUUAUGUUCAUGUCCUGUAGGCAACUCACUGUCCUGGUCUAAGUGCCACAGCUUCCCUUCCCCAAGGAGUUCCAUAAGAGGCCCUCAAGGGUGACUGGGCAGAUAUGAGGCCCUUCCCUGGAAGCUAAAAUGGUAGGAGAGGUGACCAGGGCUGGGAUUAAGGGCCCAGCAGAUAUCAGGGUUUGGAGGCCUGGGUUGGGUGUAGAAACCUAUAGCCUGGGUCCAGUGAUGGGUUAUGACUAGGUUUGGAGGCAGCUCUGCAGUAAGGAGGCUCUUCUCAGCCAAUAGGACUUCAGAGAAUUCAUCUGUUUGGUCAAUUGGUAGGUGGGGACUAGCCCAGCCUGCUUUUCUGGGCAUCAUUCCUUUUUUUUCUCUUCCUUUCCUGGUCCUUUAUGCUUCUAGUGCCUGUUUUCUGUUGUGGCUUCAGGGUGAAGGAAUUUGGGAGAAGGCCCUGGGUUCAAAUUUUAAAUCCUUUUCUGCUAUGAGCUUCAGAUUUUCUACUUGGGGAAGAGUCUGACUUGGUCCCAGUAAUUUUCCAAAAUGACAGAGACCAAAGUUGAGUUCAGUUCCUUAGAGCUUCUCUUAUCUCUGAUCCAGCUCCUGGGACAAAGGAGAUCAGUGAGGAGAGGGUGAGACUGGAGAUUGCAGGAAGAACUGGGAGAAAACAAGCCUGUAAGGGUCAGAGGCUCCCUGGGGCAUAGGGAUGCACUGUCAUCAUCAUCAAAAACAUUCUUCCCAUUACUGAGCUCCUAUCAUGUGCUAAGGAUUGUACAGGGCUCUUUUCAUAUGUUGUCUUGUGGUGAUCCGCACAGCAGCCUUCAAGUGGGUUAUUACCACCCCAUUCUAUUUUAUUGUUAUUUUUUGAGAUAGGAUUGCUUGGUCUGGAGUGCAGUGACACAGUCACAGCUAACUGCAGCCUCGACUUCCUGGGCUCAAGCCAAGGAAGAGCUCCCAAGUAGCUGGGACUACAGGUAUGCACCAUCACGACUGACUAAUUUUUAUUAUUAUUAUUUUUUGUAGAGACAUGGUCUCACUAUGUUGCCCAGGCCUGUCUUGAACUCCUGGGCUCGAGCAGUCCCUCUACCUUGGCCUCCCAAAGUGCUGGGAUUAUAGGUGUGAGCUACCACACCUGGUCCCACCUCCAUUUUAGAGAGGAGAAAGCUGAGAUUUCUAGAGAUUGGCUGAUUUGCCCAAGACCCAAGGCUAGUAAGCAGCAGAACCAAGAUAUCUGUGUGGAGCCAAAUCAGCUUCCUACCAUGCCUCACCACUGGCUAAACCCACUAUUCCCAUCUCCUGGCCCUUGCCCUAGGAGCAUUUCAUAGCAGCUUCUCCUCUAAUGUUUUUCAUCCAGCAGGAUUUUUCAUCCGAAGUGGCCAGUCUCAAAGGGGAGGAUGACUUUAUUCUCUUGUGAAUGUAGCUCUUUUUGAUCACUCUCUCCUCCUUCCCUGGGAAAUAGGAAAUGCUGAAAAGAUCUCUUUCUCCACAAGACAUCCCUCCACCAAAUCCCCACUCCUUUGCUUACCCAAACAGUUGUGUCCAUCAUGUGCCAGGUGGAAU
Symphalangus syndactylus (siamang) is the source of this 3000-nucleotide long non-coding RNA. RefSeq lists it as uncharacterized. Lineage: Eukaryota; Metazoa; Chordata; Mammalia; Primates; Hylobatidae. The record is from RefSeq and is a predicted model, not a curated record.